GAUGAACGCUGGCGGCGUGCCUAAUACAUGCAAGUCGAGCGAACGGACGAGAAGCUUGCUUCUCUGAUGUUAGCGGCGGACGGGUGAGUAACACGUGGAUAACCUACCUAUAAGACUGGGAUAGCUUCGGGAAACCGGAGCUAAUACCGGAUAAUAUUUUGAACCGCAUGGUUCAAAAGUGAAAGACGGUCUUGCUGUCACUUAUAGAUGGAUCCGCGCUGCAUUAGCUAGUUGGUAAGGUAACGGCUUACCAGGGCAACGAUGCAUAGCCGACCUGAGAGGGUGAUCGGCCACACUGGAACUGAGACACGGUCCAGACUCCUACGGGAGGCAGCAGUAGGGAAUCUUCCGCAAAGGGCGAAAGCCUGACGGAGCAACGCCGCGUGAGUGAUGAAGGUCUUCGGAUCGUAAAACUCUGUUAUUAGGGAAGAACAUAUGUGUAAGUAACUGUGCACAUCUUGACGGUACCUAAUCAGAAAGCCACGGCUAACUACGUG
Molecule: ribosomal RNA, 497 nt
Filed under: uncultured bacterium
Lineage: Bacteria
Description: partial 16S ribosomal RNA
Rfam family: Bacterial small subunit ribosomal RNA
Source: RNAcentral